RNAcentral lists this long non-coding RNA (5728 nucleotides) under Capsicum annuum. RNAcentral's name for it is "long non-coding RNA (CANN_LNC019724)". The record is from RNAcentral. Lineage: Eukaryota; Viridiplantae; Streptophyta; Magnoliopsida; Solanales; Solanaceae.
AAAAUAGCCGCACCUCUCUUCGAUCUCCUCUUCCUCUCUCAACCUCUCUCUUCGAUCUCCCUAGAUAUCAACGAUGAUGGAACCCAGCGCCGCCAGCCAUCGACAGAAUCAAAGAGCUGCCAGUAGCCAUCUCCACCAACGCCGACAGCACCACUCGACACUCUCUUAGGCUCUUAGCGCUGAAAUCUCAGCAUUGAAGCUCAAUUUUUUCUUUUGCUCUCAACGGGUAAGAAUUUUUGUCUUUGCUCGAAGCGUCGUUGUCAUUCUUGGAAGUCUUCUUCUCCAUUUUCAAUUUCUAUCCAAUUUUUGAUUAAAAAAAGUUGAUAUGGAAUUUGCCCACUGAAUUUCAUUCGAUUUCACAACAUCAUUUUAGAUUUUAGCUACUCAUACAAAAAGUAAAAUAACAAGAACAAAAGUAAAGAUAUUGAAGAUUAAAGAUCUUUGUUUAAGAAGUAGAAAAAGUAAGAUUAUGAACUAGAUGAAAUAAUAAACCUAUAACUAAACAAAAAGUAAGAAAGAAUGUCAAAUCAUUACAAUUGAAACAUCAUAUGCAAAUUUAUGGUCAGUGGAUUCUCCUUGCUGCUCUGUUGAUUUUCUUUUAAGGGUUGUUGGAUUCACAUUGUGAAUUUACUCUGUAGGCAUGAAUUGCUUCAUAGUUUGCUUCUCUUUGUUGUAGGUUCCUCUUUAGUUCUGAUCUUCAUCAUCAAGUGUUGAUUGUUGAUUGAAGUCAUGGUCAUUUAUUUUGUAUAUUGACCAUCAUGUACAAUGUCCUGAUUGGCGCAUUUUAUGAUCUUUUCAAUGUGUGUAACUCAGCCAACAAUCAAGCUUGAACGUCGCUAGAUCUUGUUUGAUAUAUUUAUUUUUGAAUUUCAAUCAGGCCUUUUCCUACUUUCUAUAUUUCACUAUAACAUUCAAGUUUUUCUUGACACUGACUAUUAUAUUUUAUUAAAUAAUAAUAUUUUUUUAUAGUAAUAUUUUAUCAUAACAAUUAAAAAAAUUUUGAACUGUAAACAUUGUCAUUGAGAAAUUUGAAUGUAUUUUAGUCACUUUGUUUGCACAUACUAUGAACCCAAAUAAUAAUACAAGUCUAAUGUCUUGUUUACAUCAAAGAUGCAUCAUUAGCUUGUCACCGCUACACUUUUUAUACAAGUACCAUUUGUAGUUCUGUCCUAAUUUUUGUAAGAAUUAAAAGAGAGUAAAAGUUCAUUUGUCUUUAUACUUGAUUCUAUUUCUCAACUGUGCUUUCGGUUACAAAACUUCAAAGUAAUAUUGACUAACAAGGUCUUAUUGAAGUUUAGCAACAAUAAUAUAUAUGUGUUCACACUUAAAUUUUUUAAGUAUGAACACAAUAUAUUGUGGUUGCUAAAUUUCAAAUACGACAUUGUGACAUUUAGCAAUAACAAUAGAUUGUGUUGCUAAAGGCCAAGGACUACAUAUAUGUAUGGAUAUGUAACUAUCUCUCUAUAUAUGCACACACCAAGUGUAUAUUCUAAGUGUGAACACAAUAUUUAUUGUUGCUAAAUGUCAAGUAUGACCUUGCUAGUCAAUAAUUACUUUUACUCUCUUUUUCAUCCUUACACGAAUAGGCACAAAACUACAAAAUGUACCACUAAAUAUUUUAGCAAGUGUGAACAUAAUAAAUUAGGGUAAUAACCCAUACUACAAAAAAAAUCCUACAAUUCAAUAUUGCCAUCAUAUAUUAUAGGAUUUUUAUAAUAUGGAUAUACCACCGAAAAGGAGAAAAAAAAGUAUUAAUGAGAAGUGAUUCUUGUUUUCUUUAGAUGAAUAAUUCAUUAUUCAAUUAGAUAUACUUUUUUCUUUUAAAUUAUUCGUCUCAAAUUUUUUAAUUUGAUUUCUCAUUUUACUUGUCUUUUUUCGUUAAUCAAGAAGAGAUAAUUUUUUUCCAUGUUUACCCUUUGCAUUAAUUACUUUUUCUUCAAAUUUAAAUGUAAACCUCAUUUAAUAGGGGUACUAUGGUAAACUAACCAUGCUAUUAAUUAUUUUUCUUAAUCAAUGUGUCAUCUCAAUUUAAGACAGAUAAUUUGAGACGGAGGAAAUAUUAUUUAGCCUUUUUAAAGCGUAGGUGCCAGCAAAUAAUAUUGGAUCAAUUCUAACAAUAUAUACAUACAUAUAUAUAUAUGUAUACCUAAUUUGGUGAAAAGACUAUGGAUUCAGGUGAACCACAUAUAAGGAUAUAAAUUCACCUUAUAUAAAUAUAUAAGGCCCGUAAAAAAAUUAUUGAAUUCACAUGAAUUUAAUCCGCUCCUAUUUAGCAACAAUAGUAAAAAUAAGGUUUACUUAUUUCAAGUCUCACCAAUUCUCAAUUAAGUUACUUGAUUUGAAAGGGAAACUAUGAAUGGAGUUUGAGAAUUAGAUUUAACCUAUAUACCGAGGAUUAAGUAAAGAAUGUUUCUAAUAAAUAUAUAAACUCAGUUAUCCUCCAGGAUACUGAUUUAUAUUAGAUAAUUACUUAUAAGUACUUUUAAGUGGCUUAGUUGCAUAUAUCCGCUCUUUGACAAUCAAUUUAUAAAAGUUAAAUAAGUUUAUACUUAUAAAUAUCUUUUAGGAGGCUAUACAACAAUAAUAACAUAUUCAUUGUAGUUCUAUAAGGAUCUUAUCCGUAUCUUUGUGAGAUAGAAAGAUAUUUUCAAUAGAUUAUCGGUUCAAGAAAAUUAUUUUUCUAAUUGGUUUGGAUGAAAUGAAAUAAAUAAAAGUUAUGAUGGAAAUAUUGAAAAAAAAAAGUAGCAAUGAAAGAAGUAAAGAUAACCACAAUUACAAGAAAAUAAGGGGUCAUUUGUUUGGGAAACAAGUUAUCUCGGAAUUAAUUCUUUCGGAAUAAGUUAUUUCACCCUUAAUAAGGUUGGAUAAAAAUAACACUACAAUCCCGAUAUAACUAAUCUGAGGAUGAGUUAUCUCAUGCAUUCUAUCCCAGCAAAACAUUGAAUAAGCUCAUUUUAAAAUUAAUCAAAAUUAAUUAUCCCUCAUUCCUUGUAUCAAACGAGCCCUAACUACCGUAAUAGAACCAAAGAAUAAGCUAUUGCUAGCGUAAUAAUAAUACUGAUAAGAGAACGGAUAGAUGCUCCAACAAGAAGGCUACGAUAUUGUGCUCAGAUUCAACAUAAGUACAAUUAUCUUGUUAAAUUGAUCUUAGCUAAAAAUGACAAAUAAACACCACUUUUCCAAAUGAGAAAUUUCAAAUUAUGACAAGCAUGAUGUUCUAAAUUGAUAAAUAUGCUAAUUAUAGUAGGUACAGGCAACACAUAAUGCUACAUAUUUCUUCUUUAUGCAUAGAAAAGAUAAGCUCUUUCUAGCUUAUACAACUUUAUGGUUAGUACAUUUGAUUCCUUACUUAAUUUACCUUCAGAAACAUGCAUGUUAACAUGGAAAAAAAAAUUAUCUCUCUCAAGUUUGAAAUAAAAAAGACAAUAAAAAUAUUAGAGCAAACAACAAACAACCACCCAAAAAAAAUAAAAAAAAGAAUCAACUAUUGUGAAUUCGUUGUAGAUUUAUUGCUAAACACUCCCUUCACUUCGUUUUACUUGGCCUAGCCUUACUAAAAGUACAUGUUCAAUUAAUUGUCCAGCUUAAGAAAUCAAUAUAAGUUUAUCAUUUUUUUCAAUAUAUAAAGUAUUAGUCGUCGAAUUUAGAUUUUCAAAUCAUAAUUAAUAAGGUUAAUUUAAUAAAAUAAACUCCUAAUAAAUAUUUUUGUAAGAGAGUGUCAAGAGAACACUGACCAAGUACAAUGAAUGGAUUUUUAUUUGUCUAUUUUUUACCCCAUUGUGUGAGAAUAUAUCAAGUAUGUUGUUGUAGUAUUCACUUAAGUUGUCCAUAGCUAAUUCAUGAUCUUCCUGCUAUGUAUGAAUGCAAUACAAGCCUUUUCCCUUUGAAUCUUUAAAAUUGCAACAUAAAUCAGCCAGUUACCUGUUUCUUCACCUGUUCUAAAUAUAAAUUUUAUAAUUUUAAAAAUAUAAUAGGUUACUUGCCGUGAUGGACCUAGCAUUCAUCAAGGGAAUUUAAGAUAUAAUACUCCAAAUUGAAUAGUUUACAUAGGUAGUUACUCAAAAAUUGUAUCUGCCACUCUAUUAGAUGUCCUAGCUUCAUGGUGUAUCAGCGUGAUCCCCAACUCCUGUAGAAGAUCAUACAAUUACUAGUAAAAGAUCAUAAACUUUAACUUCAUUAGGGAUGAUAUUCAUAAACUUUAACUUCAUUAGGGAUGAUAUCAUCGUCUCCUCAACAAUAAAAGUAACUGAGAAAACUCCAUACAACUAACUUUAACCUCAUCAAACUCCCAUAUCUGUUCUAUUUAUAUAGCACUACCAAUCAACUCAUUUUUGUACACAGCUACAUCUCUUACAUUUCUUCUAUCUUUUUUCUUUUUACAAAUUAAAAAAAAAAAAUGAAAGAUCAAUUUCGUGAAUUAACCUUUAAGGAAUUUCUUGAAGAGAUAACAAGGCAAGAACAAAGUUUUUUUCAGAAAAAAAGAGCUGAAAUGCUUAAAGAAAAUCCUGAGUUAUCAAUAAAAGACCUUUUUCCUCCAAUGCCAAACAAAACUACUAGUAAAAAUAAUGCUUAUAAUGCAUCUACUCCAGAAACUGAAUUUGAGCAAGCAAAUUAAUGUAGUGAAAAGAUGCCAACUGGUGAUAUUGUUGUGAAUGAGAUGCAAAAAGGUAUUCUUCCUUUUUUUUUCUUUGUGUUAACGUCUUUGAUAUGAUAAAAGUCCUUUUUCAUGAGAAAUAAUUUUAGGAGUUUUUGUUUUUCAAUUUUCCAAAGUUUUUUUUCGAUGGGAAGUGUUUUUUCUGAAAAAUGUUUUUGAGAAAUUGGACCACUAAUAAAUUAAGUGUGGUAUUUCUGAUGGAAAGCAUUUUUCAAAGAAAAUAAUGCAUGGACAAGUAAAGACCAUAGACUAAGGGAGUAACAUCAUAAGUGUUAUCAGUUGGUAAUGACGGAAGUCGUUUUUUUCUUUUUUGAUGGAAAACGACUUUCUCAUGAAAAAUAGUUUUUCAGAAAAAUGACAAGCAAAUACACCAUUAAUUAAUUACAUGUGUCCUCAAUAACAUGAUGGAUUUUUUUAUUUUUUUUUAAAUUUGGGUUUUGGGUAAUAUACAUUUUACUGUUUUAUAUUUCCAUUGUGAUACAGGUAAAGGACAAAAAGAAGCAAAAGCUUAGAAGGAAGAUGGUAGCUAAUAGUUGAGAAUCAAGUGUUAAAUGAGAUAGAAUUGUAAAUAAAUAAAUGAAGUAAAAAAAAAACUAGCCUCGUUCAGUGACUUUGCUUUAAGAAAAUUAAGUCAAAAUUAUAGAAAAAUGGAAUUAAUGUGAUGCAUGUCUGUAUCUAUGUUUGCAUUAAGUUAAAUAAACAUCAUAUGGUGAUGUCUUGUUUACUAAUUUUUUCCUCACUUCCUAUAUUUUAGUUACAUUUUUGCCUGUAUAUAUUGAUCAUCAAAUUAACCUAAGAAUGCUUCAUAUUUUUUUAAUUAAAGCUUCAAAAGGAAAAUUCAAUCUAGGAAAACAGAUAAGCACACAAUUGAUAAGCACACAAUUGGAAACUCCAAAGUUGAGAUGGAGUAGCAUGUUUGGUACAAUGAAAGUCCUUAAAAUAUUUUUUUAGGAACAAAUUUUUUCUUUUUGAUUGGUGAAUAAAAGCUACUUUUUAAUAAAUCAAUACAAUAUAUUCAGUGUAACUUAUAAGUGGGGUAUGGGAAAGGUGAUGUAUAGUAUGCGUUACCAUCGG